RNAcentral lists this ribosomal RNA (436 nucleotides) under uncultured Quatrionicoccus sp. RNAcentral's name for it is "bacterial SSU rRNA". It matches the Rfam family "Bacterial small subunit ribosomal RNA", at positions 8 to 446 of the family's 1533-position model. The record is from RNAcentral. Lineage: Bacteria; Pseudomonadati; Pseudomonadota; Betaproteobacteria; Rhodocyclales; Azonexaceae.
AGAGUUUGAUCCUGGCUCAGAUUGAACGCUGGCGGCAUGCCUUACACAUGCAAGUCGAACGGCAGCACGGGAGCAAUCCUGGUGGCGAGUGGCGAACGGGUGAGUAAUGUAUCGGAACGUACCAUUGAGUGGGGGAUAACGUAGCGAAAGUUACGCUAAUACCGCAUAUACCCUGAGGGGGAAAGCAGGGGAUCGCAAGACCUUGUGCUCUUUGAGCGGCCGAUAUCAGAUUAGCUAGUUGGUGAGGUAAAGGCUCACCAAGGCGACGAUCUGUAGCGGGUCUGAGAGGAUGAUCCGCCACACUGGAACUGAGACACGGUCCAGACUCCUACGGGAGGCAGCAGUGGGGAAUUUUGGACAAUGGGGGCAACCCUGAUCCAGCCAUGCCGCGUGAGUGAAGAAGGCCUUCGGGUUGUAAAGCUCUUUCGGGCCGGGA